RNAcentral lists this long non-coding RNA (472 nucleotides) under Lactuca sativa (garden lettuce). RNAcentral's name for it is "long non-coding RNA (LSAT_LNC000089)". The record is from RNAcentral. Lineage: Eukaryota; Viridiplantae; Streptophyta; Magnoliopsida; Asterales; Asteraceae.
ACACAUUCAUCAGCGGCCCUAUUCACUAGUCACCACCCUCCACCGCCAGACCAAUCAUCAUCACCACCGGAUUAACAUUACACCAGCGCACCACCAUCGCAUCAGUCGUCUCUCUCUAAAAUCGAACGACCAUCAUUAAAUGUCAUCGACCUCCUCAUUUACCAUUUGCAAUCUAAAAAAAAAGAACCUCUGAUUUCAGGUAUCACAUAAAAAUAUUUCUUAAUUUUUUUUUCUAAUUGAAUCGAAUUGGUGAUGGAUCAAACCAUUGUUUACGCUGUCAAUUUUUUGUGGAUUUUUCAAUGCAGGGGAAGACAUUUCUAAUCGAAUCGAAUCAUUACUCCCAAAAAUUUGUUGAAAUUGGUGAUACGGGUAGAUAAAAAAAAAUGUUUUUUGAACAUAAUUCAUACAGUUACUUAUUGAUAGUGUCAUUUACAUGAAUUAGAGCUCUCACUCAUUCAUACGAAAGUUGUUG